This 23-nucleotide microRNA is filed under the name Oikopleura dioica. Its description in RNAcentral is "odi-miR-1497c". Lineage: Eukaryota; Metazoa; Chordata; Appendicularia; Copelata; Oikopleuridae. The record is from miRBase by way of RNAcentral.
UUGAAGAAUUGCAGGUGGUGGUC